AAAUUUAGGUUAAUUAAACCAAGAGCCUUCAAAGCCCUAAAUACGAGUAUAAUAACCUCAUAAUCUCUG
RNAcentral lists this transfer RNA (69 nucleotides) under Hemiphyllodactylus harterti (Bintang slender gecko). RNAcentral describes it as "tRNA-Trp". The record is from RNAcentral. Lineage: Eukaryota; Metazoa; Chordata; Lepidosauria; Squamata; Gekkonidae.